RNAcentral lists this ribosomal RNA (293 nucleotides) under uncultured bacterium. Its description in RNAcentral is "partial 16S ribosomal RNA". It matches the Rfam family "Bacterial small subunit ribosomal RNA", at positions 505 to 797 of the family's 1533-position model. The record is from RNAcentral.
GUGCCAGCAGCCGCGGUAAUACGAAGGGGGCUAGCGUUGUUCGGAAUUACUGGGCGUAAAGCGCGCGUAGGCGGAUUGGUCAGUUAGGGGUGAAAUCCCAGGGCUCAACCCUGGAACUGCCUCUAAUACUUCCAGUCUAGAGUUCGAGAGAGGUGAGUGGAAUUCCGAGUGUAGAGGUGAAAUUCGUAGAUAUUCGGAGGAACACCAGUGGCGAAGGCGGCUCACUGGCUCGAUACUGACGCUGAGGUGCGAAAGCGUGGGGAGCAAACAGGAUUAGAUACCCCGGUAGUCCC